This 459-nucleotide ribosomal RNA is filed under the name uncultured bacterium. RNAcentral's name for it is "partial 16S ribosomal RNA". It matches the Rfam family "Bacterial small subunit ribosomal RNA", at positions 338 to 795 of the family's 1533-position model. The record is from RNAcentral.
CCUACGGGAUGCAGCAGUGAGGAAUAUUGGUCAAUGGCCGGAAGGCUGAACCAGCCAAGCCGCGUGAAGGACGAAGGUUCCAAGCAUUGUAAACUUCUUUUGUCAAGGGACAAAAUCAGGCUCGAGAGCCUGACCGCGGGCACUUGAAGAACAAGCAUCGGCUCACUCCGUGCAAGCCGCCGCGGUACUACGGAGGAUGCGAGCGUUAUCCGGAUUUAUUGGGUUUAAAGGGUGCGUAGGCGGGCUGUUAAGUCAGCGGUAAAAGCCAGGGGCUCAACCUCGGCGAGCCGUUGAAACUGGCUGUAUUGAGAUGUCGAGAGGUAUGCGGAAUGCGCAGUGUAGCGGUGAAAUGCUUAGAUAUUGAGCAGAACUCCGAUGGCGAAGGCAGCAUACCGGCGGCGAUCUGACGCUGAGGCACGAAAGCGUGGGUAUCGAACAGGAUUAGAUACCCCGGUAGUC